AAACUACAAUUUUAUAGUUUUUUUGUUUCAACUCAAAGUGUUAAGAUCUAUUUAAAUAUAGUUAAAGAAAAGAAGCUAUGUAAUUUUUACUUAUAAAUUGAUCAAACAAUUUUCAAUUUAUCACAUGCAAAGACGUAAAAAUACGAUGCAAACUCUCAAGUUUAUUUAUGCUUUCAUAAUCUUCAUUUCUUUGUUUCUUGCUAUAACCAAUGGCAAUCAAUUCCCCUGCAAAAUUGACGUUGAUUGUCUAAUUAAAGAUUGUUUUCGUCCUUUUAAACCGAUGUGCAUUGUUUUGAAUUGUGAGUGUGUGUUAGAAUAUUAAUUAGGUGGAAUGAUAAUAUGUACUAAUAAGCGUAUGAUUUUAUUUGUACGUCUAAUGUUGUUAAUUUUAUAAUUUACCUUACAAUUGCAUAUGAUU
Molecule: long non-coding RNA, 418 nt
Organism: Medicago truncatula (barrel medic)
Lineage: Eukaryota; Viridiplantae; Streptophyta; Magnoliopsida; Fabales; Fabaceae
Exons: 2
Source: RefSeq, a predicted model, not a curated record